GCGGGUUUCGUUCUCUGCGAACA
RNAcentral lists this microRNA (23 nucleotides) under Patiria miniata (bat star). RNAcentral describes it as "Pmi-Mir-76_5p* (star (passenger))". Lineage: Eukaryota; Metazoa; Echinodermata; Asteroidea; Valvatida; Asterinidae. The record is from RNAcentral.